This 407-nucleotide ribosomal RNA is filed under the name uncultured bacterium. Its description in RNAcentral is "bacterial SSU rRNA". It matches the Rfam family "Bacterial small subunit ribosomal RNA", at positions 29 to 372 of the family's 1533-position model. The record is from RNAcentral.
AUGAACGCUGGCGGCGUGCCUAAUACAUGCAAGUCGAGCGGAAAGGUUCUGCACUUAUUAUUUGAGUAGGUAAGUCUUAUAGAUACUACCUAAAACGUAAUCGCUAGGCUAGUGAAUACGGUCGAAUAAUGGGUGUAGAAUACUCGAGCGGCGGACGGCUGAGUAACACGUAGGAACGUACCCCAAAGUGAGGCAUAAGCACCAGAAAUGGUGUCUAAUACCGCAUGUGCUCUAAGGAGUAAAGCUUCGGCGCUUUGGGAACGGCCUGCGCAUGAUUAGCUUGUUGGUGAGGUAAAAGCUCACCAAGGCGACGAUCAUUAGCUGGUCUGAGAGGAUGACCAGCCCAGACUGGGACUGAGAACGGCCCAGACUCCUACGGGAGGCAGCAGUAGGGAAUUUUCCACAAU